GAAAACCUCGCAACUAAAGGGAGAAAUUGAUAUUUCGUAUAAUUUCCUGGUGGAUAUGUCUGGAAACGUAUAUGAAGGAACUGGAUGGGAAUACACCACAAGUAAAAUGACGUCACGAUUGGUUAUUGGUGUAUUAGGUGACUACACAUGCACAGAUGUCAAAUUAAGAUCUGUUGCAGCUAUUAAAAACCUGAUUAAAUGUGGCGUAGAAAUGGCGAAGAUAUCAAAAAGCUAUGCAUUAGUGAGUGGAAGACAGACUAGAAAACCUGAUUGUUUAACAACAACUUGUAUGGGAGAUAGUCUUCUUUGUACCAUCAUGAAGUGGAAAUACUGG
Long non-coding RNA from Patella vulgata (common limpet), 334 nucleotides. RefSeq lists it as uncharacterized. The record is from RefSeq and is a predicted model, not a curated record. The transcript is spliced from 3 exons. NCBI's taxonomy places the organism in Eukaryota, Metazoa, Mollusca, Gastropoda, Patellidae.